RNAcentral lists this long non-coding RNA (1920 nucleotides) under Triticum aestivum (bread wheat). RNAcentral's name for it is "long non-coding RNA (TAES_LNC025537)". Lineage: Eukaryota; Viridiplantae; Streptophyta; Magnoliopsida; Poales; Poaceae. The record is from RNAcentral.
GGUGGGCUAAUCUUCUAAUGUUUUGCCCCCAGCAAUUGAUUCCUCACAAAAUUUACGUCCCUGUUUUGCCUCCUACUCACGCUAAUUCAUGUGGAGCUAGCAACUUAAAUUGGGAAUGGAACAAUUCGUAAGUGCCAUUAAUUACAGUUUGUACGUACAGUUUUGCUUCUUCAUUUUCCUAUGUGAUAACUUUACCUCAGCUCAUUGAUUUCAGGCGCUCUUUAAAAUUAUAACAAGAGGAUAUAGAAUGAGGUAUAUGUGAUAUUUCAGUUUUUGUUCUUUCAAUUGUUUUCGUCUUACCUCUAAUUUAUUUCUUUAUUCUAUAUCUCCUUUUAUUUCCUCGUUGAACUUGAACCACAUGUGGACCAGUAUGUGCACGCCUCAUUGCAUUGAUAUUUGUAAUAGGGAGAUAUUGUCCCUCUUGCAUUGUAACAAAUAAAUCAUGGUAUCUAUGUUUGGCUCACAGCUCACCUACCUUUGAUUGUACACGUGGUAUUUUUUUGGAAAUGUGUUGUAUAAUACACUAAUGCUUUUCACAAUUUUUGUUUUAGUGAGUAACUACAUAUUUGGUAGCUAGAUUGUCCACUUCCGACAAUUGGAUAUUAGACGUCUAAUUGUACGCGCACUCCAGACCAUUCUAUAAACCAGGUAUGCCUAAUAUUUGUUUGAAAUGACUACAUGGUUGUGUCCAUGGAGCCAUGUGCUACUUUCUAGUGCGGGGUAAUAAGCCGGUAUGUAACAAUACCCUUGAUGUUGCAUGCUAUUUGGGCACUAUGUGUGUCACAUGGCUUGGUUUAAGCAUUCAGUAUUACAUAGGCAUUGCCUUGGUUAUCGAAAAUAGUUUAGAUGUAUCAUCGUUUGCUUAAAUUUGGCUAGAGUUGAGAUGAAAUCUCCUAGCUAUGAGAUAACAUAGUAUACAGAGUUGUCUGCACUAGAUUAGAUAGGGUGGUGAUCUACUUUUCUUUCUGUUCAGGAUUUCAGUUUGGUUGCAUCUUGCCAUGUCUUAUUGGAGAGAACAUGUAGCCAUCAGUUGAUAACUCAAAUUAUCCCGAAUAUGGUGAUGCUUUUUUUGUGUUGUUGCUUCUGCGGGUUUUGAGAAUUUUAUUCAUGGAUCAGGAAAUUAUAAUUUGUGACUUUGUAAUUUUCAGGUAAUUACGAAAUUUUGCAUGAUGCAGAUUAUUUAAAGAUUUUCAAGUUGUUGGCAAUGAGAUUUCUUCUUAUACACCAUAGAAAGAAUGGCUAAUGAAUCAUCCCAAGAUGAGUAGUACGGGAGUAAUGUGCAGACCUCUUGACAAUGGAGAUGUUCCAUUUUGUAAUAGUUGAUACUAUUGGUUGUCAUUAUUCAGUUGCUGAAGUCAUCUCGUAGUUAUUAUAAUAUAUUGUUUGGAUAUUUUUUAGUAGUAAAUACAAGCUGAUAGUUAUUCAUAAUGAACAGCCAGAUCUGAUUCAUCAAAGGUGUCUAUUUUUCUAUGCAGAUUUUUAUCUCAAUGAGCCAUGGAUAUUCAAAACAUGUGCAGACAUUUCUAUGGUGCUCAUUUAAAUUUUACUUCUCUAUUAGCCGGAUUUUCUCUAUUAUAAGUUACUCAUCUCAUAUUGUUGUUGUUGUAGGUCACCAAGAUAAAAUGAUGAUGCAUGGCUCAGAUGUUGAUUGCAAGGUUAAGAAUUGGAGCUACUACAAGAUAAUUAGAAUUCCAAUUUUAGGAUUAAUGUUUCAAACAUUAUAGUUGAUUGCAAGGUCAAGAAUUGGGCCACUACAAGAUAUAGUUUAACCUACUGUAAUCUUUGGAUCAUGUUUUUUGUAAUGCAACAUAGUGAUAUAAUAUAUGAUAUCUUUCUGUUUGUUAUAUUCUGGCUCCUAUGCAGUACUGGCAUUGACCUAAUAAUUAUGGACAGCAAUAUAUAAAAUAUAAUCAAUUGUUC